This 253-nucleotide unclassified non-coding RNA is filed under the name uncultured fungus. RNAcentral describes it as "partial contains small subunit ribosomal RNA, internal transcribed spacer 1, and 5.8S ribosomal RNA". The stretch from base 1 to 73 matches the Rfam family "Eukaryotic small subunit ribosomal RNA", at positions 1759 to 1831 of the family's 1831-position model. The record is from RNAcentral. Lineage: Eukaryota; Fungi.
GCAAACUUGGUCAUUUAGAGGAAGUAAAAGUCGUAACAAGGUUUCCGUAGGUGAACCUGCGGAAGGAUCAUUAACAAAUCCACAAUCUACUACCUGUGUGAACGUACGCGUUGCCGACCACCACACCUGCUAGGGUGUGUCUGGGCGGCAAUCGCACCAUUACAUACCUUUGUUGUUGGAUGUAUACAUAUAUCAAUGGUCGACAACUUUUAACAAUGGAUCUCUUGGCUCUUGCAUCGAUGAAGAACGCAGC